RNAcentral lists this ribosomal RNA (251 nucleotides) under uncultured bacterium. RNAcentral describes it as "partial 16S ribosomal RNA". It matches the Rfam family "Bacterial small subunit ribosomal RNA", at positions 524 to 776 of the family's 1533-position model. The record is from RNAcentral.
UACGGGGGGAGCAAGCGUUGUUCGGAUUUACUGGGCGUAAAGCGCGCGUAGGCGGAUCGCUAAGUCAGGGGUGAAAUCCCAGGGCUCAACCCUGGAACUGCCUUUGAUACUGACGGUCUGGAGAUCGGGAGAGGUGAGUGGAACUGCGAGUGUAGAGGUGAAAUUCGUAGAUAUUCGCAAGAACACCAGUGGCGAAGGCGGCUCACUGGCCCGGUACUGACGCUGAGGUGCGAAAGCGUGGGAGCAACAGG